CAAAUUUUCCCAUAGCACGUAAAAGUUUUCACUUGAAACUCAAGUUAAUAACUUCCCUUAAAGAAAAUCAUUUUACACGUGCAAAUGAAUUCCCGCACGGUACCGUAAAGAUUGUCCAACCAGUUGUUACAACAAGUGCAGUUCAAUCUUGAAGUUCUUCUCAUCUAAAUUACAGAUUUCUCGUACAGGAUAUAAGUUCGCUGCGGUUGUAGGUGAUACAAAGAAAGCUGCUAGUCUCCAACACAAAGACCGAGCUCAGCUCUUUACUUCUCUCUGUUGGUUUAGGUAUGAUCCUUUGUUUUUUGUUCUUUUGCAAAAAAACUGAUUCAUCCCUUUGUUGAAAAUUUGUUCAAAAUCAAUGGAAUGAUAAUAGAUUUAUUUUUGGGCUCAAUUGUGGAAUUGGUAGAAUCAAAAGAAAUUGAAAAAUGCAAAGUUUGAUUUUUUGCCUAUGCGUACGCACAUGCUUAAUUUUGUGCGUAUGCGAGAUGUGUUUUGGCAAAAUCAGAAAUAAAUUUCAUUUCUACUAUGCGUACGCAUGAUUUAUACUAUGCGCACAUAUAGUGUUAAAAAAUAGCCGUUGACUAAUUUUUCAAUUUGAAACUUGCAAACCAUUUUGGAUUAAAAGUUGCCACUUUUCACCUUGUUUUGGCAUCAUUUCGUGAUGCAUUGAUUGAGACCUAUAAAUAGGUGAUGAAUGAUCAAUACAAACAUUAUUAGAAUUAUUGAAAACAUCUUGAGACCCAUAUAUCAUUCCAUAUUGAAUCAAACUAUUGAUUUACAUUCAAAUUCAAGAUCUUCCUUUAUUUUCUUAAAAUUUUGGAGGAUUGCACUUGUGCUUUGGUGUUAAAUUCUUUACAAGGCUUAAUAUAAUCUUACAAACCAUUUGCCAAAACCCUUAAGCAUCUCAUUCAAUCCCUAGAGGGGGCAAAUAUAGUUUGAGGACAAUGAUCCUGUGUUCAAGCCUCAAAUUCGUUCUUGACGUAUUUCGUGAUUUCUAUUCAUUUUGUUUCUAUGAUUUUAUUGUUGUUUCUUCUCCAACAACUUAUUUUCCAAUAAUCUUAAACUAUAUUCUGCGAUGGAGAAUGAUACAACUAUGGCAACCAUCAAACUUAUGAAUCAAGAUAUGGUUAGAUUGGAUCGUUUUGACGGGACUAACUUCACGCGGUGGCAAGACAAGUUGAAAUUCCUCCUAACGGUGUUGAAGAUUUUUUAUAUUCUUGAUCCAAAUUUGGUGCCUUUUCCGAAACCAACGAAUGAAGAAUCCAAAGCAAUCAAGAUCGAGAGACAAAAAUGUCAAGAAGAUGAAUUGAUUUGCCGUGGCCACAUCUUGAAUGCAUUGUCAGAUCGUUUGUAUGAUCUAUACACCACUACAACUUCGGCGAAAGAAAUCUGGGAAGCAUUGGAAAGUAAGUACAAGGUGGAAGAGGAAUGUACAAAGAAAUUUUUGAUUUCUAAGUAUUUUGAUUUUAAAUUCUUAGAAAAUAUCCCUCUUCUUCCCCAAGUGCAUGAGUUGCAAUUAAUUGUCAACAAAUUAAAGUCGGUGAAAAUUGAUAUAUCGGAGACCUUUCAAGUGGGGGCUAUAAUUUCCAAACUUUCCGGAACUUGGGAAGGAUACCGGAAGAAGAUCAUGCAUAGUUUUGAAGAUUAUUCUUUGGAACAAUUGCAAAAGCAUCUUCGAAUAGAAGAGGAGUCAAAAAUACGUGAUAAAACUGAAAAUUCUCAUGAGAGCUCUUCUAAAGCAAAUGCUAUGGAAAAAAUAGAACCGCCGGCAAAAUCCAACAAAAGGAAGCCUUCUAGAAACUUUAACAAGUCCAAAAAGAAGACAAAAGGAGGUUGUUUUGUGUGUGGAUAAUCUGGUUACUAUGCGAAGGAUUGUAGGCACCCAAAACAAAACAACUUCGAGGCCAAAGUGAAUUCCAUCCAAGAUGACAAAAUUGUAGCCACCAUAAGUAAAGUAAAUGCAAUCAAAGGAAAUGUUCCUGUGUGGUGGUAUGAUACUUGUGCUAUGGUACAUGUAUCAUAUGAUAAAUCUUUGUUCAAAACUUAUCAAGAAGUGGAUGGAGAACAAGAUAUUCAAAUGGGUAAUGAGAUGCGGUCCAAGGUGUUUGGAAAAGGAAGUGUAGAUAUUAUCUUCAUUUCUGGGAAAACCGUUACUCUAACUAAUGUACUACAUGUUCUGGAUAUGAAUAGGAACCUAGUUAGUGGAAAUCUCUUGGGAAAGUUGGGCAUCAAAUGUGUUUAUGAGUCCGACAAACUUGUACUAUCCCUUAAUGAGAAAUUUGUUGAAAAAUGCUAUUCGUGUGAAGGAAUAGUCAAAUUAUGUACCGUUGACAAUGAAAUGAAUAAAAGUAAUUUUGCUUA
This 2361-nucleotide long non-coding RNA is filed under the name Olea europaea subsp. europaea. Lineage: Eukaryota; Viridiplantae; Streptophyta; Magnoliopsida; Lamiales; Oleaceae. The record is from RNAcentral.